This 253-nucleotide ribosomal RNA is filed under the name uncultured bacterium. Its description in RNAcentral is "partial 16S ribosomal RNA". It matches the Rfam family "Bacterial small subunit ribosomal RNA", at positions 524 to 776 of the family's 1533-position model. The record is from RNAcentral.
UACGUAGGGCGCAAGCGUUGUCCGGAAUCAUUGGGCGUAAAGAGCUCGUAGGCGGCCUGUUGCGUCCGCUGUGAAAUCCCGGGGCUUAACCCCGGGCGUGCAGUGGAUACGGGCUGGCUGGAGGCAGGCAGGGGAGAACGGAAUUCCCGGUGUAGCGGUGAAAUGCGCAGAUAUCGGGAGGAAUACCGAUGGCGAAGGCAGGUCUCUGGGCUGACACUGACGCUCAUGCACGAAAGCGUGGGGAGCAAACAGG